UACGUAGGGGACGAGCGUUGUCCGGAAUACUGGGCGUAAAGCGUGCGCAGGCGGUUUGUAAGUCAGGUGUGAAAUCCCCGGGCUCAACCUGGGAACUGCAUCUGUGACUGCAUCGCUGGAGUGCGGCAGAGGGGGAUGGAAUUCCGCGUGUAGCAGUGAAAUGCGUAGAUAUGCGGAGGAACACCGAUGGCGAAGGCAAUCCCCUGGGCCUGCACUGACGCUCAUGCACGAAAGCGUGGGGAGCAAACAGG
RNAcentral lists this ribosomal RNA (251 nucleotides) under uncultured bacterium. RNAcentral's name for it is "partial 16S ribosomal RNA". It matches the Rfam family "Bacterial small subunit ribosomal RNA", at positions 524 to 776 of the family's 1533-position model. The record is from RNAcentral.